RNAcentral lists this ribosomal RNA (474 nucleotides) under uncultured bacterium. RNAcentral's name for it is "partial 16S ribosomal RNA". It matches the Rfam family "Bacterial small subunit ribosomal RNA", at positions 28 to 507 of the family's 1533-position model. The record is from RNAcentral.
GAUGAACGCUAGCGGCAGGCCUAACACAUGCAAGUCGAGGGAGGAGCCUUCGGGCUUCGACCGGCGUACGGGUGCGUAACGCGUAUACAAUCUGCCUUUCACAUAGGGAUAGCCCGAAGAAAUUUGGAUUAAUACCUAAUGGUAUAUAGAUGUGGCAUCACCUUUAUAUUAAAGCUGAGGCGGUGAAAGAUGAGUAUGCGUUCUAUUAGCUAGUUGGAGAGGUAACGGCUCCCCAAGGCGACGAUAGAUAGGGGUUCUGAGAGGGAUAUCCCCCACACUGGUACUGAGAUACGGGCCAGACUCCUACGGGAGGCAGCAGUGAGGAAUAUUGGACAAUGGUCGGAAGACUGAUCCAGCCAUGCCGCGUGCAGGAAGACGGCCUUAUGGGUUGUAAACUGCUUUUGCAGGGGAAGAAUAAGGACUACGCGUAGUUUGAUGACGGUACUCUGCGAAUAAGCAUCGGCUAACUCCGUG